GACGAACGCUGGCGGCGUGCCUAAUACAUGCAAGUCGAGCGGACCGAAGGGAGCUUGCUCCUUUAGGUUAGCGGCGGACGGGUGAGUAACACGUGGGCAACCUGCCCUGCAGACUGGGAUAACUUCGGGGGAACCGGAGCUAAUACCGGAUAACACCGAAACCGCAUGAUUUCGGUUGAAAGGCGGCUUUUAGCUGUCACUGCAGGAUGGGCCCGCGGCGCAUUAGCUAGUUGGUGAGGUAAUGGCUCACCAAGGCGAUGAUACGUAGCCGACCUGAGAGGGUGGUCGGCCACACUGGGACUGAGACACGGCCCAG
RNAcentral lists this ribosomal RNA (316 nucleotides) under uncultured bacterium. RNAcentral describes it as "bacterial SSU rRNA". It matches the Rfam family "Bacterial small subunit ribosomal RNA", at positions 28 to 334 of the family's 1533-position model. The record is from RNAcentral.